AAGUAAAUGCUGCAUGAAGUCUCUGCUUGUGGAAACAUUUCUUUCCUAACUAUUAUAAUAUAUAAACUAGUCAAAAUUAAGUACUAAUAUAUAGUUCACAGAUUGGAACUUAUUUACUAUUUCUUUGAAUCAGGUUACGUGAAAGUUUGUGUAUAUAUAAGUAAUCCAGGGUGCUCCUGAUGAGAAGGGUGAGGGAGUAGCGUAGGCUUCUUCAGCUAGCUGCAACUAUCUAAAUGGCUUCUCUACUCUUGUUACUGGGAGCAAUCCUACAAUCCCAUUCUAAUGAUGUUCUUCUGAUCGAUGAUGGAACGAUGGAUUCCAACUACGCCAAUGCUGAUGAUCUUCGGUUUGAGCGAAAAGAUGGGAAUGUCUUCUCCGGUGUGUCUCCUCAUGAUUACAUGUGGAGUUUUCCGAACCACAAUGAUAUUGAUGAAACCCAAGCCUGGAAAGUAGCCGUCUAUGGCAUUUGGCCUUGACAACAAAACCAUCCGCCGCCUUGUUCCCCCAGUACGUGUUUGAGAAAUAUGAAAACCAACCAAGGAGACUUGAUGUAUUGGCAGCCAAUGACAUGCAGUGCUUAAUUUUCAAAUAAAAAGCUUGUAGCACUAGAAAGCUUUGGUGGGCUAAGAUUUGCUUACUUUGUGAUGGGGCCUAGGAGCAUUUUCCACCCCUGUGACAAGUUGAUCUGCUUGUAGUUGAGAGCCAGUUAAACUCAUUCUCAAGUAUUAAUUCGAACUCAGAUCCCUUUGGGAUUCCAGGCCCAUUUAGAGCCUGUAA
This is a long non-coding RNA of Rosa rugosa (rugosa rose), 777 nucleotides long. RefSeq lists it as uncharacterized. The record is from RefSeq and is a predicted model, not a curated record. Lineage: Eukaryota; Viridiplantae; Streptophyta; Magnoliopsida; Rosales; Rosaceae. The transcript is spliced from 2 exons.